AAUCAACGCUGGCGGCGUGCCUAACACAUGCAAGUCGAACGCGACUGGGGCUUCGGCCUCAGUUGAGUGGCGAACGGGUGAGUAACACGUGGGUGACCUACCUUCGAAUGGGGAUAACGUCCCGAAACGGGACGCUAAUACCGCAUAACAUCCUGCCUUUGAACAGGCGGAGAUUAAAGCCGGGGAUCGCAAGACCUGGCGUUUGAAGAGGGGCCCGCGUCCGAUUAGCUAGUUGGUGAGGAACGGCUCACCAAGGCGACGAUCGGUAGCCGG
RNAcentral lists this ribosomal RNA (273 nucleotides) under uncultured bacterium. RNAcentral describes it as "partial 16S ribosomal RNA". It matches the Rfam family "Bacterial small subunit ribosomal RNA", at positions 32 to 290 of the family's 1533-position model. The record is from RNAcentral.